ACCUGACUGCUAUCGGAUUGAUACUAAGCCAUGCGAGUCAUUGUAGCAAUACAAGGCAUACGGCUCAGUAACGCGUAGUCAACCUAACCUAUGGACGGGAAUAACCUCGGGAAACUGAGAAUAAUGCCCGAUAGAACACUAUACCUGGAAUGGUUUGUGUUCCAAAUGAUUUAUCGCCAUAGGAUGGGACUGCGGCCUAUCAGUUUGUUGGUGAGGUAAUGGCCCACCAAGACUAUUACAGGUACGGGCUCUGAGAGGAGUAGCCCGGAGAUGGGUACUGAGACACGGACCCAGGCCCUAUGGGGCGCAGCAGGCGAGAAAACUUUGCAAUGUGCGAAAGCACGACAAGGUUAAUCCGAGUGAUUUGUGCUAAACGAAUCUUUUGUUAGUCCUAGAAACACUAACGAAUAAGGGGUGGGCAAGUUCUGGUGUCAGCCGCCGCGGUAAAACCAGCACCUCAAGUGGUCAGGAUGAUUAUUGGGCCUAAAGCAUCCGUAGCCGGCUCUGUAAGUUUUCGGUUAAAUCUGUACGCUUAACGUACAGGCUGCCGGGAAUACUGCAGAGCUAGGGAGUGGGAGAGGUAGACGGUACUCGGUAGGAAGUGGUAAAAUGCUUUGAUCUAUCGAUGACCACCUGUGGCAAAGGCGGUCUACCAGAACACGUCCGACGGUGAGGGAUGAAAGCUGGGGGAGCAAACCGGAUUAGAUACCCGGGUAGUCCCAGCUGUAAACUAUGCAAACUCGGUGAUGCAUUGGCUUGUGGCCAAUGCAGUGCUGCAGGGAAGCCGUUAAGUUUGCCGCCUGGGAAGUACGUACGCAAGUAUGAAACUUAAAGGAAUUGGCGGGGGAGCACCACAAGGGGUGAAGCCUGCGGUUC
RNAcentral lists this ribosomal RNA (876 nucleotides) under uncultured crenarchaeote. RNAcentral's name for it is "bacterial SSU rRNA". It matches the Rfam family "Archaeal small subunit ribosomal RNA", at positions 21 to 903 of the family's 1478-position model. The record is from RNAcentral. Lineage: Archaea; Thermoproteati; Thermoproteota.